Rosa rugosa (rugosa rose) is the source of this 1741-nucleotide long non-coding RNA. RefSeq lists it as uncharacterized. NCBI's taxonomy places the organism in Eukaryota, Viridiplantae, Streptophyta, Magnoliopsida, Rosales, Rosaceae. The record is from RefSeq and is a predicted model, not a curated record. The transcript is spliced from 3 exons.
CCGAAAAAUUCAAAUUAACGUCCGAUGUCAUUUUGGAAAUGAUUUCGUAGGCGUGGGCACGAAUACGAAGCUUGAAGGAGUUGUGGAAUUAGUUCGAACGAUUUUAUUUCGAAAACGAACGUUAUUUAGGGGGUCUUAAAAAGUGACUUCUUAUACGUACAGAAUUUGGGAAAACUUUCUUCAUGAAAGUUGUAGAGCUCGUCGAUACGAUCUCGUGCGUAUGUUGAACGCAAUAUUCGGAGUUUGUAUGAAUAAGUUAUGAAUAUUUGAAAAUCGGGAUUUUUUUUCUAUAAAUAUGGAGAAUUUCUGGAAUUUUUCUUAAAUCCCAAAAUUUCCUAUUCUUUCUAUUUUCUCCCCCGGUUUUCUCUCUUCUCUCUCCUCUCCCCCGACCUUUUUCUCUUCUUUCUGGGCGUUCUUCCUCUGCCAGCAGCGCCACCGUCCGGCCACCUCAAGCCGCUCUCGAGGUGUCCACGGCUUCGCCUCGACGUCGUCUAGCUACUGGACGUGACCACUUUCCCCGGAACGGCCUCAAAUCCGGCAAACCGGAGCUGCAAGGUUUGAGCCAAAAACAGUCAACGCCGGUUUUCUCCUAAUUCCGGCCACCAAAACUCACGAUCCUUAGCUCCCUGAACUCACCUCAACAUGCUGAUCAUCAUCCUAGAAGGAUCGCACCUGGAGUGACCGGAUUCACGUUCGUCGGAGCUCGGCCGGCUUUAAUUCGAAAACCACCUUCGAAUCCGAUUUUCUCGAGUUAUAGACCACCUUUUCUUGUGAUUCUUGGCCUGGUGAGUUCACCUUGAGAUUAUUAACAACUCUCAAGAAGGGAUCGAGGCCUGAGGUUGAAGUUUUUACGUCGGAAUUCAAGCUCGCCGGAUUCUGGAAAAUUUCCGACCACGAAGACUUUCGAUCAAGAUAUCUCGAGCUGUAGUGCAUCGUUUUGAUUGAUUCUUUUUCCAGUGGGUUCCCCUUGAUGUUGUUAACAACUCUCUAGAAGGCAUCGAGGCCUGAAAUUGAAGUUUUUACGUCGAUCGGAGCCCUCGCCGGAUUCUGCAAAAUUCUGCAAAUUUUCCGACCACCGAAGCUUUCGAUCGGUAUAUCUCGAGCUACAGACCAUAUUUUUCUGUGAUUCUUGAACCAAUGCGUUCGUCUUGAGUUUCUUAACAACUCUCUAGAAGGAAUCGAAGCCUGAAAUUGAAGUUUUGACGUCGAAAUCAAGCCUUGCCGGAUUCUGCAAAUUUCGCCGGAUUCUGGAAAUUUUCCGGCCACCUCGACUGUUCUAGGUUAUCGACGGAUUGAUUUGGUGGACGAUUCGGAUUGAUGUAUUUGGCUUUUUAGAAGACGCAGCUGGAUUAGAGGUUAUCGACGGAUUGAUUUGGUGGACGAUUCGGAUUGAUGUAUUUGGCUUUUUAGAAGACGCAGCUGGAUUAGAGGUGAGUAAACCUCACGUGGUUCAUAUUACGAACCGAAUAAAUUUAAUUACCUUAUUUUGUCGUAAUUGCGUGAAAAUAUUUAUGGAAUAAAUAUUUGUUUUAAAAUCAUAUGGACUUGAUCAAUUACGGUCCAUAGGUAAGUAAAAUGAUUUUAAUUAUACAAAAUGAAUUUCACGAUUUUCUUGUGUGAACUAUAGUUGGUAUUAGUGAUUAUCCCUGAGCGGAUAAUUACGUAUAUAUAUAUUUACGUGAUUAUAUGUGAAUGGCGUGACAUUGAAGAGUGUGAAAUUGAGAUGAUUAAAUUAUUAUAA